This 497-nucleotide ribosomal RNA is filed under the name uncultured bacterium. RNAcentral describes it as "partial 16S ribosomal RNA". It matches the Rfam family "Bacterial small subunit ribosomal RNA", at positions 28 to 507 of the family's 1533-position model. The record is from RNAcentral.
GAUGAGCGCUGGCGGCGUGCCUAAUACAUGCAAGUCGAGCGAACAGAUAAGGAGCUUGCUCCUUUGACGUUAGCGGCGGACGGGUGAGUAACACGUGGGUAACCUACCUAUAAGACUGGGAUAACUUCGGGAAGCCGGAGCUAAUACCGGAUAACAUUUGGAACCGCAUGGUUCUAAAGUGAAAGAUGGUUUUGCUAUCACUUAUAGAUGGACCCGCGCCGUAUUAGCUAGUUGGUAAGGUAACGGCUUACCAAGGCGACGAUACGUAGCCGACCUGAGAGGGUGAUCGGCCACACUGGAACUGAGACACGGUCCAGACUCCUACGGGAGGCAGCAGUAGGGAAUCUUCCGCAAUAGGCGAAAGCCUGACGGAGCAACGCCGCGUGAGUGAUGAAGGGUUUCGGCUCGUAAAACUCUGUUAUUAGGGAAGAACAAAUGUGUAAGUAACUGUGCACGUCUUGACGGUACCUAAUCAGAAAGCCACGGCUAACUACGUG